Molecule: long non-coding RNA, 903 nt
Organism: Puntigrus tetrazona (Sumatra barb)
Lineage: Eukaryota; Metazoa; Chordata; Actinopteri; Cypriniformes; Cyprinidae
Exons: 2
Source: RefSeq, a predicted model, not a curated record
AACAAAACGUCAAAGUACAGCGACAGAAAGCUGAAAGAGUGAAUUCCCAGCACAAGUGUCGCUCUAAUGGUACCUUUUAAGCUCACUUAGACUUAAGUAACACUACUCCACCAGGAGUCCACCAUCCAUCUCCAAAAAUCAAUGCAUUAAAUUGAGGCCCCUGGUGACUUUGAAACAUACUGCAUGGGUCUUUUCGGACCAACCACCAUCGUGACUCAUCAAAACCUGAACAUGUUUCUUAUCACUGCAAACACAUGUGAGCCUGCUGGGGUAAUGUCCUGAAUGUCACUGGGUCUUAAAGUGACCAAAGAGAAGAGAACCUCACAACUUCGAGAUGAUUUCCACCCAACAGACCUCUAUUCAUUACAUAUCAGGCCAGACCUCACUGGAGAUUGCGGUCUAUUAGCUUUAUAUCAGCGAUACAAGCGAUGCAUGAGCUGCUACUGGUUUUAAAACGCUUUACGACCGGUCAUUAACGUAUUUGCACACGAUAAGAAGAGGGCCAGCAGGGUUAAACAGACUCCCGCAUAGACACUAUCUCUUGGAAAUAAAACGCUGUAAACACGCCACAAAACAGUCGCGUAACCAAAGAAUAGUUAAGAGUCUGAAACGAGCCACUGUUGCUCAAAUAUUUGGUCUGAACACGAUUGCAUCACAAUGGACUUGUUUUGGUCCAUGCUGUCCUUGUGUACAGAAAACAUGAACCAACAAUCUCCUCAGGCUUUCAUUGAAAGGACCAGUAAUGUUUCAGUUACCAAUAUUAAAGCCAACUAUGAGAAUAUGAGGCUGUUUUACACUGAACUCCGUGUAAUGCUGUAAUAAACUGUUCAUUUAAAGUUUGACACUUUUAACAACUGCUUGUCUUUUUAUUGUGGAAAAAAUUAAAAGGUCCAACCAACUGUC